CACCUGAAACUUCACAAUGUUAUGAACUAUUAUGACAUCAAUUAAAAAAAAGAAAAGCCACACCCAAUCUGUUUCACUGUCCAUCCCAUCUUGCUGACAAGAGCUUACUGAUCCUCAAAUGGAGAAAGGAUUGUGAGGGUCACACUGGUCCUCACUCCCUCAAAGAAGAACAAUUUCAGGAAGUGUCCUAGAAGACCUCUCCUUUGUCUCAUGGAGAAAAUUAUGAAGCUGAAAUCAAAUUACGUUCACCAAGAAAACUCAGUAUUCCUGGAAGUUUAGAGGAGAGUCUGACCCGAAUCCUAGGGAGAUCCCGAAAUUUCUAGCAAGGUGAGCAAUAUUUGACAGUUUACUCUUCAAGAAAGGAAUAAGGAUGAAGACAAGAACUACAAUCAGUUCUACCAACUAGAAUUGGAACCGUGAACUCUCCCCAAAAAUGAUAUCCCAAACUCAGUUAAUUAAUACCUAGAGACACCAGGUCUCACCAGCCUGUGGAUACAAAUGAAGUCAUGCUAAUGUUAAAUAAUGCUUUGUUCCCUUUGUUGUCAUACUCUUCUUUACACCCUAAAAGUUUCACUCAAAUAGUUCUGGGAAUUUCCAAAAAGGUACGUUACAUGUACGUGCUCACACAGCUCUUUGCUAGCCACGCUCAUCACACAGCGUCUAUCUUGUCUUUCUUCUCCUGUUCUGACUCCACACUGCCUGCAAAAUAACCCUAAAGGGCCUCUCUCUUGCCUCUGCUUAUUGUAGCCAUUUUGGGAUCAGCAGUGCCUGUGCCAAGGAGACUAUUUUUUAAUGCAUACCAAACUAUCAGGUCUCCAGGCGAGGCUAGACUUUGGCUCAGUGAGAACAAAUGCCUUACCAUGACAAAGGUUUAUUUCUCACUGACACAGAAUCUAAUAAAGAGCUGGGCAACCCUUUAGGGCAGCUAUUUUCCAUGUAGUAACUGAGUGAUUUAGGCUGAGGAAGCUUUCAUAGUCCUGUAGCUGUCCCAUCAGGAGCAGGAAACCUCCCUGAUUAAUGCAGGAGGCUUAAAGAGACACUCACCAGAUAGAGGACUUAAUGGUUACUCGCUAGCUCUCCUCUGCUUCCAAGUGCAGGUGGUCAGAGCCAUGGCUCCACUCAACUGGAAGAGGGCCCAAAGGUGCAGAGAGCUCUUUCAUGUGUGUGAAAGGGGAGAAGAAGAGAUUUUGGUGAACACUAGUAAUAUCUACGUUACAGAUCACAGGUUUACAGGUUUACAGGUCAGUCCUGGGUUCUAUGAAAAACUGGAAACAAGGGCCCUCUCUCCAGCUCUGUGCUCUGUUUUGUCACCUGAUCUUGGAAUCAGUACUGCCUAUGCCCAGAGUCCCUAAAACUUUCUCAUGAGUAAGCGCUAGUCCUAAUUUCUCUUUCUAAAGGAGCUUCAACAUCCUCCAAGAAGGGAGGUGAGGAGGGAAUGCUGUGCCAUCUCUCCCAUUCUGACUCAUUUUUUUUCUUUUUCAUGACAAAUUUACAUAUACCCCUUUUUUCCCAAUCCUCCUUCAGACUGUCUGACUUGUUUACUGCUGUAUCAUAAAGUUAAAGCCCAGUACCUGGAACUCAGAAAUGUGUUAAUGAGUAGAUUAACAGAUGAGUGGAUAAAUGGAUGGAUGGAUGGAAUGGAUAGAUGGGUGGAUGGAUGGAUGGAUGAGUGGUUGGAUGGAUGGAUGGACAGAUGGAUGGAUGAAUGGGUGGAUGGGUGAAUGACGGUUUCCUCUCUAUCCACAGAUGAAGCUCAAGGGGAGCCUGUUUCCAUUUUCUGUUUAUCCUCUGAACUUCUCCUGUCACCUUGAUCCUAGCUGCAGUCCUUCUGUCUUGGAUACCAUUGUUGUCUCUUUUUGGGCUCCCUUUGGAUUUGGACCUCGUUUAAGAUUAAUUAUGGGAAUGUCAGAAUUUCAGUUUAGGGGUGAAAUCCUACCAUUCAGACUUUUUCAGGGAUUUCUAAUUGAAGAAUGUGCACAUGAGAACAAUAACCAAAUGGAAAAUAAAAUACCUUUUUAUUAACUAAUAAAUAAGCACCCAAUUGUCUCCCAGUACAGAGAUCUUUGUUCAGCCAAAUCAGAUUAUGCUGUUUAGGCCUGGAAUCCUAAGGAAGUCUUCCAUCACUCAGGAGUGAUGGAAGGAUCUGGAACAGACCAGAUGCAAUUUAUACACAAAUGUAGAACAGAGAAUUGCCUGGCUCUGACCUAGUACACUGCACUAAGGGGACUGUAAUUGCAAAAGGGGGAACAUCAGCUUAGAGACUUGAUAUUCUAGUAAAACGUGCUUGGUAACUGCCCUGUGCUUUGAGCACUUGAGUAACUAAUUCUUUCUCCCUCAGGAAGAAGCUAGCAAGAAGGGUAGAGGGUGUGGGAGCAGCAGAAAUGCUCCUUCCCCUACAGUCCAAGACAGAAAUGGGAGGAGAGCUGGCUGGGAGUUCUCCAUCUCCUCCCCCUUACAUGACUAGCUCUUCGCUCUUCAGCUUGAAUGCCAUCUUCACUCCCCCCUUGCCCUUCAGUCCUCUCCCCAGGGUCACACCCACUCCACUCCAUGACAAACUGUCUCCAGAACUCCAGUCUAGGCCAGUCUUCUCACUCCACUACACCUGCUUACUAGAGAGGCAAGUUCAAAUUCUAGGCUUAUUACUGCACUUUUGUAUAAAGUCCUUUUUUUAAAAAAUGCAAAACUUCGUAUCUGUUAACACUGGUUUAUGGAUAAACUUCUUUUUGCCUACAGAUGGAUUUCUGAUCAAGUGGUCCAUCAUUGGCAAUUCUUGGCAAUCUGACCACAAGGAAUGGCCUAUAGCUAGAUUCUGCAGCUGAGCCGGGAUCUGCCUCUCCUUAACAUAUUUGGUAUAAAAUAACAAAAAGUCAUCUAGAAUAAUGAAAAGAAAUUUUGUGAACAAAAGGCCAUGAAGUGUUGCCCAUAAUAUAGACAGUGUGGGAAGAGAAACUUUGGUUGAGGCAAAAUCAAUAUUCUCCUGCUAGCUUCUUUCUGUCAACCUCUCCCACUGUCUCCCAAUUAUAUGCCAUCAUCUCCCCCAUUCACCUUCCCUUCUACUGGCCUGAAUAAGUGUGAAUAGUCACUGUUUAUGCCAUAAAUAUCAGCCUAUUUGGAUAUUUCUUUGUUAGUUAACAAAGAUCUUCUUCGCUUCCCACUCAUAGUGCUGUUUAUCGAAUAGUUCUGUCAACAAAAUUUUAGAAUAGAUGGAGUGCAAAAUGCUUCAAAACAUUCUCGUUACUGCAGAAACUUUACAAGAAAAAAAACUGAAGUGGUUAAAAGACUUAUAAGUAGUUUCAUAGACACUCCACCACAGAAGAUGGCCAAUAAGCACAGAAAAAGAUGCUCCAGACUAUCAGUCAUCAGGGAAAGGCAAAUUGAAACCAUAAUGAGAUACUACCACACUCCCUCUAGAAUGGCUAAACUUUUUUAACUGACCAUAUCAAGUGUUGGUGAGAGUGUGGAACAACUAGACUCUCUUGCACUCCUGGUGGUAAUGUAAAAUGGUAUAGCUACUUUGAAAAACAAGUAGGCAUCUUCUUGGAAAGUUAAAAAUACACCUAUUGUUUGAUGAGAUCCAGCCAUUCCACUUCUAGGUAUUUAUCCCAAGAAAAAUGAAAACAUAUGUCUACAAGGAGACUUGUACAUGGAUAUUUAUAGAGCUUUCUUUGUAAUAGUUAAAAACUGGAAACCACUCAAAUGUCCAUCAGCAACAAACGGAUAAGCACCCUGAGGAAUAUCCAUAUAACGGAAUACUACUCAGCAAUGAAAAGGAUGAAUCUCAAAAUAAUUAUACUGAGAGAAAGAAGCCAGACCAAAAAAAGAGUAUGUAUUGUAUGAUUCCAUUUAAAUAAAACUCUAGAAAAUUCAAACUAAUCCCUAUGGUGACAGGAAGCCAAUCAGUGUUGCUUGGAGGUGGGGUGGGGUAAGGUGGGGAGGAAGAGUUUAUAAACAUACAUAAAGAAACAUUUAGAAGUGAUGGAUAUGUUCAAUAUCUUGAUUGCAGUGAUGACUUGGUUUCAUGGAUGUAUACAACGUCAAAACAUCAAAUGUUGUACUUUACAAAUGUGCAGUUUAUUAUAAGUCAAUUAUAUCUUAAUAAAGUUGUUAUUUAAAAAAGACUUAAUAUAGUAGUUUUUGCACCAGCCAAAGAUGAAAGAACUGGCUUGCCUCUUUUCAUUAAGUUUCAAACUGCUCUCCGAAAGCUCUUUCUAGAGUGUAGGUCAGCAGGGAGGAGAGGUGAGUUGGCUGAGUUACCUACCACCCCACUGCGUUUUUACCUGUUAGUUUAUAGUUUCUCUAAAGACUUACUUCAAAAAAGGCCAGGUUUAAGGGGGAACAAAAAGAAAAAAAUGGAAAAGUCUUUAAAAUCUGCUAGGUCGUCUGAUCUCUAAUGCCUACUAGCUAUAACAUUUUAUGAAUCUAAAGUUCUAUAAAUGAGUUUGGUAAUAUACUGUCUCUUUGAUUGAAGAUGACCUCAUAUUAAAAGACACACCAUUAUCUCUAGGUUUUAACCGCUUUUUAGGAGGAACAAAAGCAGUAGCAGUAUAUUAAAAGCAUACAUUAUAAGAUUCACUCCAGGUUCAAAAACAUUAAAAAGUAUGAUUUAGAAUCGUCACUGUAGCACGUGGUCCCAGGGUUGGAGCAAGGGAUGUGCAGGG
Molecule: non-coding RNA, 4658 nt
Organism: Equus caballus (horse)
Lineage: Eukaryota; Metazoa; Chordata; Mammalia; Perissodactyla; Equidae
Source: RefSeq, a predicted model, not a curated record